GAAAUGCGAUAAGUAGUGUGAAUUGCAGAAUUCAGUGAAUCAUCGAAUCUUUGAACGCACAUUGCGCCCUUUGGUAUUCCAAAGGGCAUGCCUGUUCGAGCGUCAUUUGUACCCUCAAGCUUUGCUUGGUGUUGGGCGUCUUGUCUCUAGCUUUGCUGGAGACUCGCCUUAAAGUAAUUGGCAGCCGGCCUACUGGUUUCGGAGCGCAGCACAAGUCGCACUCUCUAACAGCAAAGGUCUAGCAUCCAUUAAGCCUUUUUUCAACUUUUGACCUCGGAUCAGGUAGGGAUACCCGCUGAACUUAAGC
This 307-nucleotide unclassified non-coding RNA is filed under the name plant metagenome. RNAcentral's name for it is "partial contains 5.8S ribosomal RNA, internal transcribed spacer 2, and large subunit ribosomal RNA". The stretch from base 1 to 105 matches the Rfam family "5.8S ribosomal RNA", at positions 50 to 154 of the family's 154-position model. The record is from RNAcentral.